AGGGAUUUAGCUUAGCGGUGAAAGCGCUUGCCUGGCAAGCACAAAGUUGAGAAUUCAAUCCCCG
RNAcentral lists this transfer RNA (64 nucleotides) under Cavia porcellus (domestic guinea pig). It matches the Rfam family "tRNA". From Rfam's summary of the family: Transfer RNA (tRNA) molecules are approximately 80 nucleotides in length. Their secondary structure includes four short double-helical elements and three loops (D, anti-codon, and T loops). Further hydrogen bonds mediate the characteristic L-shaped molecular structure. tRNAs have two regions of fundamental functional importance: the anti-codon, which is responsible for specific mRNA codon recognition, and the 3' end, to which the tRNAs corresponding amino acid is attached (by aminoacyl-tRNA synthetases). tRNAs cope with the degeneracy of the genetic code in two manners: having more than one tRNA (with a specific anti-codon) for a particular amino acid; and 'wobble' base-pairing, i.e. permitting non-standard base-pairing at the 3rd anti-codon position. Lineage: Eukaryota; Metazoa; Chordata; Mammalia; Rodentia; Caviidae. The record is from Rfam by way of RNAcentral.